UACGUAGGUGACAAGCGUUGUCCGGAUUUACUGGGCGUAAAGAGCGCGCAGGCGGUCGAUCAAGUCGAGUGUGAAAGCCCCCGGCUCAACUGGGGAGGGUCAUUCGAUACUGAUCGACUCGAAGGCAGGAGAGGGUAGUGGAAUUCCUGGUGUAGCAGUGAAAUGCGUAGAUAUCAGGAGGAACACCGAUGGCGAAGGCAGGUCUCUGGGCUGACACUGACGCUCAUGCACGAAAGCGUGGGGAGCAAACAGG
This 253-nucleotide ribosomal RNA is filed under the name uncultured bacterium. Its description in RNAcentral is "partial 16S ribosomal RNA". It matches the Rfam family "Bacterial small subunit ribosomal RNA", at positions 524 to 776 of the family's 1533-position model. The record is from RNAcentral.